This 504-nucleotide ribosomal RNA is filed under the name uncultured bacterium. RNAcentral's name for it is "bacterial SSU rRNA". It matches the Rfam family "Bacterial small subunit ribosomal RNA", at positions 107 to 607 of the family's 1533-position model. The record is from RNAcentral.
UGAGUAAUGUCUGGGAAACUGCCUGAUGGAGGGGGAUAACUACUGGAAACGGUGGCUAAUACCGCAUAACGUCGCAAGACCAAAGAGGGGGACCUUCGGGCCUCUUGCCAUCAGAUGUGCCCAGAUGGGAUUAGCUAGUAGGUGGGGUAAUGGCUCACCUAGGCGACGAUCCCUAGCUGGUCUGAGAGGAUGACCAGCCACACUGGAACUGAGACACGGUCCAGACUCCUACGGGAGGCAGCAGUGGGGAAUAUUGCACAAUGGGCGCAAGCCUGAUGCAGCCAUGCCGCGUGUGUGAAGAAGGCCUUCGGGUUGUAAAGCACUUUCAGCGAGGAGGAAGGUGGUGAACUUAAUACGUUCAUCAAUUGACGUUACUCGCAGAAGAAGCACCGGCUAACUCCGUGCCAGCAGCCGCGGUAAUACGGAGGGUGCAAGCGUUAAUCGGAAUUACUGGGCGUAAAGCGCACGCAGGCGGUUUGUUAAGUCAGAUGUGAAAUCCCCGGG